This 922-nucleotide long non-coding RNA is filed under the name Gallus gallus (chicken). RNAcentral describes it as "long non-coding RNA NONGGAT004881". Lineage: Eukaryota; Metazoa; Chordata; Aves; Galliformes; Phasianidae. The record is from RNAcentral.
CAGUGUGAGUUAGCCCUCUCCUCUCUGGGAAGUUACACACUGACAUUUAUGGCAAGGAUUGAAACCUACAUUUCCAAUGGUCCCAUUUCAAAGACAGGGAGCACACACAGUUGCUGGACUAGAGGUUCCUUCCACCUGAACUAAGCCAUUCAAACCCUCCCCCACCAAAAAGGAGAAUUCUCCCUUUUCCUAUGAAUCUCUUUACCUGUGGAAUCAGGAAGAAGCUGAAUAGUUUGGCUGUCAGCAGGCAGAGAUCUGACUUAUGUGGUCCAAUCACAGCGGUGACGCGAGGCUGGUAGUCAGUGUAGUUGCACGCUAUGCCAAUGCCUGUGGUGCCAUUUUGGGGUCACAAACAGCAAGCUGGGCUGUAGGGCUGCCAGUGGCUCAAAGCAGGUGUCAUAGAUGUCAUAGCCCAGCUCCACUCCUGGCAGGAGUGACGUGGAGUUGUUGAUCUCGUCAAUAGCAAACUUCAUCCCAAGGGCCCAUAUCAGCCCAUCUACAAAUAACCUGCAGUAAGAGGGGGCAGGGAAUGACAUGAUCCACCGGUGUUAUCAUGGUGAUCAGUGCGUGUUCUUUGACAUCUCAGCAUUCUGUCUGUUGCCAGGUCACCUCGUCAUGGAGAUUCCCAAAUCCUCCUCAGGACACCAUAAGGAUGCAACAGAGCAGACCCCAUCCAGGCUGCAGGUUGGUGAGCUGUUAAUUGUAGCUGUACCAAGAUUUCCCCUAAGUCCUUAUUGGCCAAUCAAAUUAUUUCUCACGUUGAGGUGUGACAUGAACUUAUCACAGAAGCUGUUUGUGUACCCCCAAAGUGAUACACUGCUUUUCCUACAAGGCUGAUCUUUGCUCUGCACCUUAGAGAGCUGGGCACUUUUAAUGGAAGCAUGUUUCAGGCAAGUGAGAGCGGUAAGUAUCUGUGUCAACG